This 917-nucleotide ribosomal RNA is filed under the name uncultured crenarchaeote. RNAcentral's name for it is "bacterial SSU rRNA". It matches the Rfam family "Archaeal small subunit ribosomal RNA", at positions 1 to 923 of the family's 1478-position model. Lineage: Archaea; Thermoproteati; Thermoproteota. The record is from RNAcentral.
UUUCCGGUUGAUCCUGCCGGANCUGACUGCUAUCGGAUUGAUACUAAGCCAUGCGAGUCUUUGUAGUAAUACAAGGCAGACGGCUCAGUAACACGUAGUCAAUCUACCCUAUGGACGGGGAUAACCUCGGGAAACUGAGAAUAAUACCCGACAGAUCGUAAUGCCUGGAAUGGUUUAUGGUUCAAAUGAUUUUUCGCCAUAGGAUGGGACUGCGGUCUAUCAGCUUGUUGGUGAGGUAAUGGCCCACCAAGGCUAUAACAGAUACGGGCUCUGAGAGGAGAAGCCCGGAGAUGGGUACUGAGACACGGACCCAGGUCCUAUGGGGCGCAGCAGGCGAGAAAACUUUGCAAUGUGCGAAAGCACGACAAGGUUAAUCCGAGUGUUUUCUGCUAAAGAAAUCUUUUGUUAGUUCUAAAACCACUAUCGAAUAAGGGGUGGGCAAGUUCUGGUGUCAGCCGCCGCGGUAAAACCAGCACCUCAAGUGGUCAGGAUGAUUAUUGGGGCCUAAAGCAUCCGUAGCCGGCUAUGUUAGUUUUCGGUUAAAUCCAUGUGCUCAACGCAUGGGCUGUCGAGAAUACUACAUAGCUAGGGAGUGGGAGAGNUAGACGGUACUCUGUAGGAAGGGGUAAAAUCCUUUGAUCUAUAGAUGACCACCAGUGGCGAAGGCGGUCUACCAGAACACGUCCGACGGUGAGGGAUGAAAGCUGGGGGAGCAAACCGGAUUAGAUACCCGGGUAGUCCCAGCUGUAAACUAUGCAAACUCAGUGAUGCAUUGGCUUGUGGCCAGUGCAGUGCCGCAGAGAAGUCGUUAAGUUUGCCGCCUGGGAAGUACGUACGCAAGUAUGAAACUUAAAGGAAUUGGCGGGGGAGCACCACAAGGGGUGAAGCCUGCGGUUCAAUUGGAGUCAACGCCGGGA